This 575-nucleotide ribosomal RNA is filed under the name Flavonifractor sp. An9. RNAcentral's name for it is "bacterial LSU rRNA". It matches the Rfam family "Bacterial large subunit ribosomal RNA", at positions 1 to 580 of the family's 2925-position model. The record is from RNAcentral. Lineage: Bacteria; Bacillati; Bacillota; Clostridia; Eubacteriales; Oscillospiraceae.
AGGUCAAGCUAUAAAGAGCGCAAGGGGAAUGCCUUGGCAUCAGGAGCCGAAGAAGGACGUGACAAGCUGCGAUAAGCUGCGGUGAGCUGCACAUAAGCUUUGACCCGCAGAUUUCCGAAUGGGGAAACCCGACAGAGCAAUACUCUGUCAGCCUGCGUUGAAUCAAAUAGGCGUAGGUGGGGAACCGCCUGAACUGAAACAUCUAAGUAGGGCGAGGAAGAGAAAUCAACAGAGAUUCCGCAAGUAGUGGCGAGCGAACGCGGAAGAGGGCAAACCGAAGGAUUUAUCCUUCGGGGUUGAGGACCGACACAACGGCAGGAUAGGUUAGCCGAACGGUAUGGGAAGGCCGGCCAUAGCGGGUGAGAGCCCCGUAGGCGAAAACCGAAUCCUGUUAGUCGAGUUCCAGAGUACCGCCGGACACGUGAAACCCGGUGGGAAACUGGGGGGACCACCCUCCAACCCUAAAUACUACCUGAUGACCGAUAGAGGAGCAGUACCGUGAGGGAAAGGUGAAAAGGACCCCGGGAGGGGAGUGAAAGAGAACCUGAAACCUUGUGCUUACAAGCACUCAAAGC